CCUGACUGCUAUCGGAUUGAUACUAAGCCAUGCGAGUCUUUGCAGUAAUGCAAGGCAUACGGCUCAGUAACACGUAGUCAACUUACCCUAUGGACGAGGAUAAUCUCGGGAAACUGAGCAUAAUACUCGAUAGAUCAUAAUGCCUGGAAUGGUUUAUGGUUAAAAUGAUUCGUCGCCAUAGGAUGGGACUGCGGCCUAUCAGCUUGUUGGUGAGGUAAUGGCCCACCAAGGCGAUUACAGGUACGGGCUCUGAGAGGAGAAGCCCGGAGAUGGGUACUGAGACAAGGACCCAGGCCCUAUGGGGCGCAGCAGGCGAGAAAACUUUGCAAUGUGCGAAAGCACGACAAGGUUAAUCCGAGUGAUUUCUGCUAAAGAAAUCUUUUGCCAGUCGUAAAAACGCUGGUGAAUAAGGGGUGGGCAAGUUCUGGUGUCAGCCGCCGCGGUAAAACCAGCACCUCAAGUGGUCAGGAUGAUUAUUGGGCCUAAAGCAUCCGUAGCCGGCUUUGUAAGUUUUCGGUUAAAUCCAUGUGCCCAACGCAUGGGCUGCCGAAAAUACUGCAUAGCUAGGGAGUGGAAGAGGUAGACGGUACUCAGUAGGUAGGGGUAAAAUCCUUUGAUCUAUUGAUGACCACCUGUGGCGAAGGCGGUCUACCAGAACACGUUCGACGGUGAGGGAUGAAAGCUGGGGGAGCAAACCGGAUUAGAUACCCGGGUAGUCCCAGCUGUAAACGAUGCAGACUCGAUGAUGCAUUGGCAUAAUAGCCAUUGCAGUGUCGCAGGGAAGCCGUUAAGUCUGCCGCCUGGGAAGUACGUACGCAAGUAUGAAACUUAAAGGAAUUGGCGGGGGAGCACCACAAGGGGUGAAGCCUGCGGUUC
This 876-nucleotide ribosomal RNA is filed under the name uncultured archaeon. RNAcentral's name for it is "bacterial SSU rRNA". It matches the Rfam family "Archaeal small subunit ribosomal RNA", at positions 21 to 903 of the family's 1478-position model. The record is from RNAcentral.